This is a long non-coding RNA of Mustela erminea (ermine), 1236 nucleotides long. RefSeq lists it as uncharacterized. The record is from RefSeq and is a predicted model, not a curated record. Lineage: Eukaryota; Metazoa; Chordata; Mammalia; Carnivora; Mustelidae. The transcript has 5 exons.
AAGAACUGGACCCAUCAGCCCAGGAAGUAGCAGGACCGGGAUCUGAUUUGUGAGAGGGGCUCCCACGACCGCACCGAGGCAUGAACAGGGAAUGGCUCCAAAGUCGGAAACCCUCUGAGGACAUUCCAUGCUGGUGUGGCUUCUCGAGUGAGGAAAAAAGCCCUUAAUUCCUUCCCGGAAACCAUCGAUGGAGAAGAGCAGCUGGCCAGCUGAGGCUGUGCCCUCUGAUCUGCUCUGUUCCCACCUUGCUUGCUUCCAUCAUGCAGCCUCAUCAGUAUCUGCCUUCACUCCCACCUUCAGUCAAGCAGGAAACUGGACCCAGGUCUGUAGUAAUUACGCCUGAGGUAUCUCUAAUUGCUGUCCAAUAGUGAUCUCAGCUGUUUGCAAAGUCAGCAGAGGCACCACCUUUGAGAGGCCAAGGUCUGCAACGUGUAACCUUUGUUUAUCUGGAACAAAUCACCGGACCCUUUAAACCAGUCAAGAAGCAGAACGAAAGGGGCAGGUGGAUUUCAUCAGCCGGGGACUGGGACAGCGCCCCUCACUGAUGGCAGCAGCUGGAGGUGAGACUGAAGGUCUGAUCUGAUGGCCGUCCAGGGCCAGCCCCCUGCAUGCUGUGUCACAUUCAGCAAGUGAGCCCAACCACUCAUGGAUCGUACAUUCAUACACAUGCGUGGGAUCACCACAUUCCAUGGAUAAGAAGCCAAGAGGCGACAUGUGCCCCAGAAGGUUGUGGCUUUGGGAACUGUCAAAGCCAUAUACUCAGGUGCAACUGCCGGAAAUGGGGUCCACAUCUAUUAGAGGUCUCGAUCUCCUUGUGGAGAGAGGAGUUACUGGUACCAGUUCAGCCCUUCACCCAGGGACAUUAUACCUGAAAGCUGGAAUCCUUCAUUUAGGAGUUUUCCUCUUCUUUAGAAUAUCCUCCCAAAGGUCUAGUCUCUCUUCUAUCUCUCUGGGAUGGAUAAGGUACAGGGAUGAUGACCAAGAAAGUAAAUUCUAUUCUUUUCCCCAAAUCUCGCAGCCCUUGGCUCCCCAUGCCUCUGUCUUUCACCUAGAAGCUGCGUCUGAGGCGAUCUGCUACCAGUAGCUUCUACUGUGCCUCACCAGAUAGCACGCCAGGACGCCUGCAUUUCAGGAUGCAUGCCUCCAUCCUCGCCACGUUCACAUUCUGGCUGUGCUGAUCGCAUCGGAACACACAACCCAACAGCUGUGUUUCUCUACUCGUGUAGUACAUAUUUA